GGAGAGAUCUUAUGGAACUUAAUCGCAUAAAUCUAUAACUAAAGGAGAGAGACAGAAUACUAAAUAAAAAGUGAUCCUAAUACUCUCCAAUAUGUAUCAUCUAAAAUUUAAAUCUGAAAAUCUUUAUGAUACACCUUGAGGCUUGUUAUUUGGUUAAUAUAUCUUAUGCAUAAAUCAUGAACCAAAUUGCAAGUCAAACAGUUGAUCUUAAGAGCCUCUAACUUAAUGAAAAAGGGGGAGAAUAAUGUGUUGAAUUUUCUUGAGUAUCUCUCAGAAAAUCUAUUUUGGAAUUCACUAAUGAGUCCUAAUUGGCUUACUCUUUAGAACUUCAAUUUUGUGCCAAUUCAUAUUUUUAUGUAUCAAAUUGUGCUUAU
RNAcentral lists this long non-coding RNA (374 nucleotides) under Phoenix dactylifera (date palm). RNAcentral describes it as "long non-coding RNA (PDAC_LNC016788)". Lineage: Eukaryota; Viridiplantae; Streptophyta; Magnoliopsida; Arecales; Arecaceae. The record is from RNAcentral.